GGGUUGUGAGGUUAAGCGACUAAGCGUACACGGUGGAUGCCCUGGCAGUCAGAGGCGAUGAAGGGCGUGCUAAUCUGCGAUAAGCGCCGGUAAGGUGAUAUGAACCGUUAUAACCGGCGAUACCCGAAUGGGGAAACCCAGUGUGAUUCGUCACACUAUCAUUAACUGAAUCCAUAGGUUAAUGAGGCGAACCGGGGGAACUGAAACAUCUAAGUACCCCGAGGAAAAGAAAUCAACCGAGAUUCCCCCAGUAGCGGCGAGCGAACGGGGAGGAGCCCAGAGCCUGAAUCAGCAUGUGUGUUAGUGGAAGCGUCUGGAAAGGCGCGCGAUACAGGGUGACAGCCCCGUACACAAAAGCGCAUGUGCUGUGAGCUCGAUGAGUAGGGCGGGACACGUGGUAUCCUGUCUGAAUAUGGGGGGACCAUCCUCCAAGGCUAAAUACUCCUGACUGACCGAUAGUGAACCAGUACCGUGAGGGAAAGGCGAAAAGAACCCCGGCGAGGGGAGUGAAAAAGAACCUGAAACCGUGUACGUACAAGCAGUGGGAGCACAGGUUUACCUGUGUGACUGCGUACCUUUUGUAUAAUGGGUCAGCGACUUAUAUUCUGUAGCAAGGUUAACCGAAUAGGGGAGCCGGAGGGAAACCGAGUCUUAAUUGGGCGUUAAGUUGCAGGGUAUAGACCCGAAACCCGGUGAUCUAGCCAUGGGCAGGUUGAAGGUUGGGUAACACUAACUGGAGGACCGAACCGACUAAUGUUGAAAAAUUAGCGGAUGACCUGUGGCUGGGGGUGAAAGGCCAAUCAAACCGGGAGAUAGCUGGUUCUCCCCGAAAGCUAUUUAGGUAGCGCCUCGUGAAUUCAUCUCCGGGGGUAGAGCACUGUUUCGGCUAGGGGGCCAUCCCGGCUUACCAACCCGAUGCAAACUGCGAAUACCGGAGAAUGUUAUCACGGGAGACACACGGCGGGUGCUAACGUCCGUCGUGAAGAGGGAAACAACCCAGACCGCCAGCUAAGGUCCCAAAGUCAUGGUUAAGUGGGAAACGAUGUGGGAAGGCCCAGACAGCCAGGAUGUUGGCUUAGAAGCAGCCAUCAUUUAAAGAAAGCGUAAUAGCUCACUGGUCGAGUCGGCCUGCGCGGAAGAUGUAACGGGGCUAAACCAUGCACCGAAGCUGCGGCAGCGACACUGUGUGUUGUUGGGUAGGGGAGCGUUCUGUAAGCCUGUGAAGGUGUGUCGUGAGGCAUGCUGGAGGUAUCAGAAGUGCGAAUGCUGACAUAAGUAACGAUAAAGCGGGUGAAAAGCCCGCUCGCCGGAAGACCAAGGGUUCCUGUCCAACGUUAAUCGGGGCAGGGUGAGUCGACCCCUAAGGCGAGGCCGAAAGGCGUAGUCGAUGGGAAACGGGUUAAUAUUCCCGUACUUGGUGUUACUGCGAAGGGGGGACGGAGAAGGCUAUGUUGGCCGGGCGACGGUUGUCCCGGUUUAAGCGUGUAGGUGUGUGUUCCAGGUAAAUCCGGUUCACUUUAACACUGAGGCGUGACGACGAGGCACUACGGUGCUGAAGCAACAAAUGCCCUGCUUCCAGGAAAAGCCUCUAAGCAUCAGGUAACAUCAAAUCGUACCCCAAACCGACACAGGUGGUCAGGUAGAGAAUACCAAGGCGCUUGAGAGAACUCGGGUGAAGGAACUAGGCAAAAUGGUGCCGUAACUUCGGGAGAAGGCACGCUGACACGUAGGUGAAGUGAUUUACUCAUGGAGCUGAAGUCAGUCGAAGAUACCAGCUGGCUGCAACUGUUUAUUAAAAACACAGCACUGUGCAAACACGAAAGUGGACGUAUACGGUGUGACGCCUGCCCGGUGCCGGAAGGUUAAUUGAUGGGGUCAGCGCAAGCGAAGCUCCUGAUCGAAGCCCCGGUAAACGGCGGCCGUAACUAUAACGGUCCUAAGGUAGCGAAAUUCCUUGUCGGGUAAGUUCCGACCUGCACGAAUGGCGUAAUGAUGGCCAGGCUGUCUCCACCCGAGACUCAGUGAAAUUGAACUCGCUGUGAAGAUGCAGUGUACCCGCGGCAAGACGGAAAGACCCCGUGAACCUUUACUAUAGCUUGACACUGAACAUUGAGCCUUGAUGUGUAGGAUAGGUGGGAGGCUUUGAAGUGUGGACGCCAGUCUGCAUGGAGCCGACCUUGAAAUACCACCCUUUAAUGUUUGAUGUUCUAACGUGGACCCGUUACCCGGGUUGCGGACAGUGUCUGGUGGGUAGUUUGACUGGGGCGGUCUCCUCCUAAAGAGUAACGGAGGAGCACGAAGGUUGGCUAAUCCUGGUCGGACAUCAGGAGGUUAGUGCAAUGGCAUAAGCCAGCUUGACUGCGAGCGUGACGGCGCGAGCAGGUGCGAAAGCAGGUCAUAGUGAUCCGGUGGUUCUGAAUGGAAGGGCCAUCGCUCAACGGAUAAAAGGUACUCCGGGGAUAACAGGCUGAUACCGCCCAAGAGUUCAUAUCGACGGCGGUGUUUGGCACCUCGAUGUCGGCUCAUCACAUCCUGGGGCUGAAGUAGGUCCCAAGGGUAUGGCUGUUCGCCAUUUAAAGUGGUACGCGAGCUGGGUUUAGAACGUCGUGAGACAGUUCGGUCCCUAUCUGCCGUGGGCGCUGGAGAACUGAGGGGGGCUGCUCCUAGUACGAGAGGACCGGAGUGGACGCAUCACUGGUGUUCGGGUUGUCAUGCCAAUGGCACUGCCCGGUAGCUAAAUGCGGAAGAGAUAAGUGCUGAAAGCAUCUAAGCACGAAACUUGCCCCGAGAUGAGUUCUCCCUGAGACUUAAAGUCUCCUGAAGGAACGUUGAAGACGACGACGUUGAUAGGCCGGGUGUGUAAGCGCAGCGAUGCGUUGAGCUAACCGGUACUAAUGAACCGUGAGGCUUAACCUUACAACGCCGAAG
Molecule: ribosomal RNA, 2928 nt
Filed under: Salmonella enterica subsp. enterica serovar Enteritidis
Lineage: Bacteria; Pseudomonadati; Pseudomonadota; Gammaproteobacteria; Enterobacterales; Enterobacteriaceae
Also listed under: 2 other names
Description: bacterial LSU rRNA
Rfam family: Bacterial large subunit ribosomal RNA
Source: RNAcentral